CGAAAACCUGGAAAAGUUACCUGACGAAGCGAUCUCAGCCCAUCCACUGAUGUCACAUCACCACACCUUACAGAGCCUCAGUGGAUUUCAUCACAUUGUGAUGAUCCGUCGUGCCUUCCACACGCAGCCCGGAGGUUUGGCCGUGCCGUGGUCCAAGGUCUAGUUUGAUGCAGCAUUGCUCUGUCACCCUGUGUGAGUUUUACUGAGGAAAAUCGGAAAGUACAUGAGCUAAAGCCAUGAAAUUAAGCUGAAGUCACAGAAGUGCUGUUUGUGGGAUGACAAUGUUUAGCUGGUAAAAGGUGCAAGUGAAAAGAUACAGAAAGAAAAAGGAAAAAAAAAAGCAGAAAACACGAUGAUAACUCAGUAACAGUGAGGAUGAGCUCAUACCAAUAAAAGUUAAGAGACUAACUUUCCCCAGCAUACUGAAAACUUCCUAGCCAGCUAAAACUCAUCAGUUUUCUUAUCAGGAGUGAGUCUCUUUGUGCUGGUAAUUGACACCUGAACAAAAGCAACCUGUUGAUGAUGAGUUGCAUGUUCUCCUGCUAAAGUACUUUCU
Molecule: long non-coding RNA, 556 nt
Organism: Myiozetetes cayanensis
Lineage: Eukaryota; Metazoa; Chordata; Aves; Passeriformes; Tyrannidae
Exons: 3
Source: RefSeq, a predicted model, not a curated record